Long non-coding RNA from Xyrauchen texanus (razorback sucker), 332 nucleotides. RefSeq lists it as uncharacterized. The transcript is spliced from 3 exons. The record is from RefSeq and is a predicted model, not a curated record. Lineage: Eukaryota; Metazoa; Chordata; Actinopteri; Cypriniformes; Catostomidae.
UGGCCAUGACUUUAGGAACAGGGCUUUUUUGCCAUUCAAAAGCAGGACAAUUAUGUGUUCAAUCUCAUACUCAAGAUUACAAUGGCUACUCUGGACAAGAGAAACUCAUGGAAGUGCAUGUUGAUGUGUUAAAGCCAGGUCUAUGUGUACUCAUAGUUGACCAGUGAAUUGAGACUGGAGGAAUUAUGAGAGCAGCUAUCAAACUGGCAUUGCUGCUGUGGCCAUUGAGAACAGUGAUGGAGGGAAGUGGCUAAUGGAAAACUAUAAGAAUUCCCACUGCAUUCCAAAUAAGCUGCAGACAAUCAGUACCUGGAAUCUUUUAAGAACUUCAG